GACGAACGCUGGCGGCGUGCUUAACACAUGCAAGUCGAACGCGCCUGUCCUCUGGGUUUCUGGGGGGUGGGUGAGUGGCGAACGGGUGAGUAACACGUGAGUAACCUGCCCCCUUCUUCGGGAUAACGGUCUGAAAGGGCUGCUAAUACCGGGUAUUCACUGGUCUCCGCAUGGGGUCUGGUGGAAAGGUUUUUUUCUGGUGGGGGAUGGGCUCGCGGCCUAUCAGCUUGUUGGUGGGGUGAUGGCCCACCAAGGCUUUGACGGGUAGCCGGCCUGAGAGGGUGACCGGGCACAUUGGGACUGAGAUACGGCCCAGACUCCUACGGGAGGCAGCAGUGGGGAAUAUUGCACAAUGGGCGCAAGCCUGAUGCAGCGACGCCGCGGGAGGGAUGGAGGCCUUCGGGUUGUGAACCUCUUUCGCCCGUGGUCAAGCCGCGACGUGGGUCGUGGUGAGGGUAGUGGGUAAAGAAGCGCCGGCUAACUACGUG
This 488-nucleotide ribosomal RNA is filed under the name uncultured bacterium. RNAcentral describes it as "partial 16S ribosomal RNA". It matches the Rfam family "Bacterial small subunit ribosomal RNA", at positions 28 to 507 of the family's 1533-position model. The record is from RNAcentral.